RNAcentral lists this long non-coding RNA (684 nucleotides) under Pan troglodytes (chimpanzee). Its description in RNAcentral is "long non-coding RNA NONPTRT004274". Lineage: Eukaryota; Metazoa; Chordata; Mammalia; Primates; Hominidae. The record is from RNAcentral.
AUGCAAAUGGAAGCCAGAGGAAAAGGGAACCCUUGACACAGUUUUCAUAUAGAUUGGCCUCCAGAGCAGACAGCAGGAGGGGGGUUUAAUCUGGACUGAAUUGGAGGAAAGGAACUGGCACCAGAGUGGAGGCUGGAAGGAUGGUGGAACUGACACUGGGACAGAACACAGAAAACAGAAUCUAAUGCUAAGUGGAAUAAGGACAAUGAUGCAAAAAAGAGCCGUUCUCAGAGGGAGUCAGUCAUGUGCAAGCUCAGCGUGUCAGGAGACACCAGGGAGGCCCAGGUGGGAACCUCUCAUGCUUGCACUGUGAAGGGGAGCCAAUGCAAAAUGGAGUCCUGGGGCCAGGACAGAAGUGAACCCUAGACUUGUGAGAGCUGAAUAUACAAAUGGACGACGGCUGGACCCCAUAUAAAAAUAGAACUCUGACCCACAGCCUGCAGCAACCUGCCUAAAAAACCAAUCCUCUUAUCUACAAUGAAAAGCCCAGGUAGCCAGCCUGCUAGAAGUCAGACUUGCAGGAAACCAGAUUGUUAUCUUUAGUCAUGAUCCAAGAAGCUAAACAAUAACUUCUAUAACAAUCAGCCCCAAAUGGCCAGGAUGUGAUUAAUAAUUGGCAGCUUCCCUAAUUUUUAUCCUGACUCCCAACUUGGACCAAUCAGAGAAAGCCAACUAUGCCCCCUA